AGUGGGAUAGCUGAGUCAAAUGGUGGUUUUAUUCCAAGUUUUCUGAGGAAUCACAAUACUGCUUUCCAGAGUGGUUGCACCAAUUUGCAGUCCCACCAGCAAU
Molecule: microRNA precursor, 103 nt
Filed under: Marmota monax (woodchuck)
Lineage: Eukaryota; Metazoa; Chordata; Mammalia; Rodentia; Sciuridae
Source: RNAcentral